GUACUCAAUUUAGCAGCCUAUAUACUAAAAUUGGAAUGAUACAGAGAAGAUUAGCAUGGUCCCUGCUCAAGAAUAACAUACAAAUUCAUGACAUGUUUCAUUUUUUC
Octodon degus (degu) is the source of this 107-nucleotide small nuclear RNA. The record is from Ensembl. NCBI's taxonomy places the organism in Eukaryota, Metazoa, Chordata, Mammalia, Rodentia, Octodontidae.